Unclassified non-coding RNA from Cebus imitator (Panamanian white-faced capuchin), 102 nucleotides. It matches the Rfam family "Y RNA". From Rfam's summary of the family: Y RNAs are components of the Ro ribonucleoprotein particle (Ro RNP), in association with Ro60 and La proteins. The Y RNAs and Ro60 and La proteins are well conserved, but the function of the Ro RNP is not known. The record is from Ensembl. Lineage: Eukaryota; Metazoa; Chordata; Mammalia; Primates; Cebidae.
GCCUGUUCCGAGUGCAGUGGGAUUUACAACUAACUGAUCACAACCAGUUACAGAUUUCUUUGUUCCUUCUCCACUCCCACCGUUUUGCUUGACUAGCCUUUA